GCCGGGGAGAGAUGGUCGGCAUGGUGACUGCCCAGGGAGGAGGGAGGAGGAGGAGGGAGAUGAAAGGAAGAGCACAGAGCAGACCCACCGAUUUAACCUUAGUCUAAUCACGGGACAAUUUCCAACCUACCGACCGGUCUGUAACUCCAAUUCUGUAAGAACCUGCUAAUUGCGUGCCACCAGAGAUUUUGUGUUUUCUCCCCGUAAGUAGCAUGUUGAAACCUGAAAUGUGGCUUUUAAUCUACACUCCACUGC
Hypanus sabinus (Atlantic stingray) is the source of this 255-nucleotide long non-coding RNA. RefSeq lists it as uncharacterized. NCBI's taxonomy places the organism in Eukaryota, Metazoa, Chordata, Chondrichthyes, Myliobatiformes, Dasyatidae. The record is from RefSeq and is a predicted model, not a curated record. The transcript is spliced from 3 exons.